CAGAAUUCUUUAUGUAUCUGGAGGAACUGCAGUGUUGUGGGUGGUCUCUACUCAGAGGGCAACAAGUUAAUUCCUCGCUUUUAUAUUUUGGCAUUUUUCUAAGACGGUCUGACCUUCUGCUUUCCAGUUUUGAUCUUAAUGUGAAUAACCCUGUUAGGAGUGAACCUAAAGCUAUAUUCUUAACAUGUUCUUCUUCCUUUGAAGAGUCAGGACCCCCUAAAUAAAAUUAAAAAUGUGCAGCUGACUGCAGCUCCAGUGACAUCAUCCCGCAGGCUAUCUCAUCUUUGUCUUCUUGUCC
Molecule: non-coding RNA, 298 nt
Organism: Pelobates cultripes (western spadefoot toad)
Lineage: Eukaryota; Metazoa; Chordata; Amphibia; Anura; Pelobatidae
Source: the annotation of a GenBank genome assembly